CCGAGGCCGCACGGUUUCUUCCCCGUAAACGCAAGACUUCGACUUCCACGCGUCCCUGCAUCCUCCCACCCCGAUUUUCCUUUCUGUUGCAGACUUGGCCUUCCGUUUGUCAUGGCAUGCAACCUUCCGCCGCCCGGUUUUCGUCCUCCCUUGACUAAGAGCGGGCCUUCUACACAUCCAGGCAUCCAGCACCUUCUUCCUCUCCAUUUCCAAAACCACGCCCAAUACCUGGAUUUCUUUCCCCUGCCUUGCGACCACGACUCGCCGCUAAGUUGACCCUACCAUACCCAAGAUCUGAGCUUCCUUCCUUUUUCCCACUCCAGCUAUUGACAGAGCCUCCCCACAAAAGCCAGGGGCCGGAGACGCCCUUCGAAGCCUGCGGUUACCUGCAGGAGAAGGUACGCUGGCGAUGACCCGGGAAUGCCACAGCCCUCACACGGUUAACCCCACAAGCGCACACUCUGGCAAUCCCAGCUGUGCUCCAGCUGUUUCUGCUUCUGACACGGCCUCCGCAGAAACCGAGAGCUGGGACGGCCCCGCUUCCAGGCUUUUGUCCCGACCCAGGCCCGGCCCCCUCAGUCCACCUCCCGGAGCUCCGCCCCUGCCCCGCCGCCAAUCGCCGCGCGCUGACCCGCUGAGAUGGGCGGGGCCAGGGGCCAGGGGCGGGUCCCGGAAGGCUAGGUCGAAUUCCGCGGCGAAUUCCAAGCGCUCAAGGUAGGGAAGGGCUUGCAGCGCCUUUGGAGUCGGCCGCCACUGCUCUACGGCAGAAGGACGAGAUUGCCACCUGCAGGCUGGGGAGCAGGGCACGCCUGGGCCGGUCUUCUGAAUCCUCCGCCGACAACCUAGGGCCCGGCGGAGUGAGUUUCCACUUCUGCAAUAAAGGCAAACCGGGGACGGCGCGGCUCGGACCAAUCCCCUUCCCUGCGCGCCCCGGCUGUGUGGUACACUGGAACGCGCUUGGACAGAAGGAAAAGUGCCGUGGGCAAGCGUGACAUCGCUUUGGGGGCUUCGCGCAGCUGGAAUGCAAAGGGUUGAGCAGUUGCACAAGCAGGCAUGGUACAGUAAAUUUCCGCCACCGCCGAUGACUAAGUCUUUAGAGCUUCGAAAGGAUUUAGAGCAACCUUCAAGAUACAUACAGUAUAGCACGACAAAGGACAUUGAAUAUAGGUGAGGAAAAGAUAGAAUAAAUACAGGAAAUUGUACAGAACCAAGCUCACAGGAAACAUCCUGACCAGGUGGACCUGUGGAUGACUGCAGGGAGGAAGAAAUUAACACAUCUUCUAUGGAGGCUGACUGGAACCAGGAAAUGUUUGACUUCACUCCCUCCCCUUUUAGUAUAAAAGAAGCCUGAAUUCUAACUCAGGCAAGAUGGUUCUUUGGGGGCACGAGUUCACCAUCUUCUUGGUUUGCUGGGUUUCUGAAUAAACUCGCUUGCCCCAACA
Lagenorhynchus albirostris (white-beaked dolphin) is the source of this 1442-nucleotide long non-coding RNA. RefSeq lists it as uncharacterized. NCBI's taxonomy places the organism in Eukaryota, Metazoa, Chordata, Mammalia, Artiodactyla, Delphinidae. The transcript is spliced from 3 exons. The record is from RefSeq and is a predicted model, not a curated record.